RNAcentral lists this long non-coding RNA (224 nucleotides) under Lathyrus oleraceus (garden pea). RNAcentral's name for it is "Pisum sativum (pea) long non-coding RNA (PSAT_LNC012127)". Lineage: Eukaryota; Viridiplantae; Streptophyta; Magnoliopsida; Fabales; Fabaceae. The record is from RNAcentral.
CCUCUCGGACACCUUCUUCUAGCCUCAUCUUGUGUUUACCAUCUCGGUUAAAUCACUGGGGGCACUAGCAAUCAUCCGCUCAUAGUAAAAUGAGUUCAGGGUCUUAAGGAAGAUCUUGGUCAUCUCUUUCUCUUCCAAAGGAGGGGUAAUCUGAGCAGCAAGCUCUCUGGAUCUUUGAGCAUAUUCCUUGAACGUCUCCUUGUCCUUAUGAGACAAUGACCUCA